RNAcentral lists this long non-coding RNA (492 nucleotides) under Phoenix dactylifera (date palm). RNAcentral describes it as "long non-coding RNA (PDAC_LNC000299)". The record is from RNAcentral. Lineage: Eukaryota; Viridiplantae; Streptophyta; Magnoliopsida; Arecales; Arecaceae.
GAGGAAGAGAGAGCGGGGGAGGAGAGAGAGAGAGAGAGUUCGGGAGAGAGUGAGCAAGAGAGGAAGAAGAAGAAGAGGAGGAAGAGGAGAAAAGGAAGAAGGAGAGAGAGAACGAGGACGUGGGAGAUGGUGGAAGAGGAGGAGGUGGCGAUGGACGGCGUGAUAUGCCGGAAAAGGAGGUGGCGAUGGACGGCGUGAUAUGCCGGAAAAGGGAGCUCGGUGGCGGUGGGGAUGAUGGCGUGGAAGGAGGAGAACAGGCGUUUUCUCCCCCGUGUCCUCGGUCGUAUUCAUCCACAGGGCACCGCCUUAAGGUGGGCCCUACGGACUUGGGCCACGGCCCAGGUUCAACACCUAUAAAAUCUUCAACACAAACGGAAUAAGGACUUGUGACUAGGGUUACGACAAUAUAUAAGCAUAGCGAAACCAACGAUAGAAAAAUAAAGAAUCCACGUAUCAACGCAAAAUGAUGGACAAAAAUGCACCUAAUUCAAG